GUGAAUUUUACAAGAUGUGAAUGGACAUUUAAAUACAGAUCAUUGGUGUACUAGGCGUAAAUAAGCCCUGCAACUUGAGACAAUAAUGGCAUCUACAGAAAACUCUUUGAGGUCCUUGGAAACUUUGAUGUCAGAGUUUUUUGACAUCAGAACUACAAAUGAACGGAAAAGAGAAAUUGAGUCCUUGCUGAAUAAUUUUGCCCAGACAAAAGAUGCAUGGCGACACAGCUUGUUUUUCAUUAGCCACACUGGCAAUGAAUAUGUCAUCAUGUACUGUCUCAAUGUC
Long non-coding RNA from Haliotis rubra (blacklip abalone), 286 nucleotides. RefSeq lists it as uncharacterized. The transcript has 3 exons. The record is from RefSeq and is a predicted model, not a curated record. Lineage: Eukaryota; Metazoa; Mollusca; Gastropoda; Lepetellida; Haliotidae.